AAGGAUCAUUGUCAAAACCUACCCGACAGAGGAACCCGCGAACGAGUGAAAACGUGCACGUGCGGUUCGAGGAGGGGCGCCCCCCCGAUCGUCUGUCCGUCGGACCACGGUCCCCCGCUGCGGCUCGCCGAAAGGGCGACCGCAAGGUGGGCCGUCCAAACUAAACAAAAAAUUGGCGCUACGGGCGCCAAGGAAAUCUUAGUGGAAAUAGGGUUUGCACCAUUCGCGGUCGCGGCCUUCGGGAUCCGAUACUCGAACGACUCUCGGCAACGGAUAUCUCAGCUCUUGCAUCGAUGAAGAAUGUAGUGAAAUGCGAUACUUGGUAUGAAUUGCAGAAUCUUGUGAACCAUCGAGUCUUUGAACUUAAGUUGCGCCCGAGACCACUAGGUCGAGGGCACGUUUGCCUGGGCAUCACACACAGCGUCGCACCCCACCAACCACAUUACCAGGGAGCGGAAAUUCCCCCCCACCAGGCCCUUUAGGGCAUGGUCGGCAAAAAUGUUGGUCCCCAAAGGUGGGGGUCGCGUCAGCGGUGGUUGUGCUACUCACCCCGAAGACAUCAUGAUGCGCUCCUUCCCUACACGACGGGACAAACGACCCCACGAAACCGCCUCACGCGGCAUCCACCUGCGACCCCCAGGUCAGGCGGGACUACAUGCCGAGUUUAA
This 668-nucleotide ribosomal RNA is filed under the name Delphinium favargeri. RNAcentral describes it as "eukaryotic LSU rRNA". The stretch from base 259 to 414 matches the Rfam family "5.8S ribosomal RNA". The record is from RNAcentral. Lineage: Eukaryota; Viridiplantae; Streptophyta; Magnoliopsida; Ranunculales; Ranunculaceae.